This 282-nucleotide ribosomal RNA is filed under the name uncultured bacterium. RNAcentral's name for it is "partial 16S ribosomal RNA". It matches the Rfam family "Bacterial small subunit ribosomal RNA", at positions 334 to 632 of the family's 1533-position model. The record is from RNAcentral.
UACUCCUACGGGAGGCAGCAGUGGGGAAUAUUGCACAAUGGGGGAAACCCUGAUGCAGCGACGCCGCGUGGGUGAAGGAGUAUUUCGGUAUGUAAAGCCCUAUCGGCAGGGAAGAAGCGAGACGGUACCUGACUAAGAAGCCCCGGCUAACUACGUGCCAGCAGCCGCGGUAAUACGUAGGGGGCAAGCGUUAUCCGGAUUUACUGGGUGUAAAGGGAGCGUAGGCGGUGCAGCAAGUCAGAAGUGAAAGCCCGGGGCUCAACUCCGGGACUGCUUUUGAAA